RNAcentral lists this RNase P RNA (395 nucleotides) under Synechococcus sp. SupBloom_Metag_053. Its description in RNAcentral is "RNase P RNA component class A". It matches the Rfam family "Bacterial RNase P class A". Rfam says of the family: Ribonuclease P (RNase P) is a ubiquitous endoribonuclease, found in archaea, bacteria and eukarya as well as chloroplasts and mitochondria. Its best characterised activity is the generation of mature 5'-ends of tRNAs by cleaving the 5'-leader elements of precursor-tRNAs. The record is from RNAcentral. Lineage: Bacteria; Bacillati; Cyanobacteriota; Cyanophyceae; Synechococcales; Synechococcaceae.
GAAAGCAGGCGAGGUGGUCGCAAUCGGAGUUGCCUGCAGCUGCCGGUUGAGGAAAGUCCGGGCUCCCCAAUGGCCAGGCUUGCUGGGUAACGCCCAGUGCGGGUGACCGUGAGGACAGUGCCACAGAAACACACCGCCGAUGGCAGGGGGCUCGCCCCCCGCACAGGUAAGGGUGCAAGGGUGCGGUAAGAGCGCACCAGCAGCAUCGAGAGGUGCUGGCUAGGUAAACCCCGGCUGGGAGCAAGGCCCAGGAACCAUGGUUGGCCAUUAACCGGUUCCGCUAAAAGUGCGCCGCUCGAGGCCGUUGGUAACAACGGUCCCAGAUAGAUGAUUACCCCGGGCAAUGGCUUGCCUUUGCUUCGGAACAGAACCCGGCUUAUGUCCUGCUUUCCCCC